UACGUAGGUGCGAGCGUUGUCCGGAAUUACUGGGCGUAAAGAGCUCGUAGGUGGUUGUGAUAGUCAGAUGUGAAAUCCUUUGGCUUAACUGAAGAACUGCAUCUGAAACUUCACAACUCGAGUACAGGAGAGGGAAACGGAAUUCCCGGUGUAGAGGUGAAAUUCGUAGAUAUCGGGAGGAACACCAGUGGCGAAGGCGGUUUCCUGGCCUGAUACUGACACUGAGGCGCGAAAGCGUGGGGAGCAAACAGGAUUAGAUACCCGGGUAGUCCCU
Molecule: ribosomal RNA, 274 nt
Filed under: uncultured prokaryote
Description: partial 16S ribosomal RNA
Rfam family: Bacterial small subunit ribosomal RNA
Source: RNAcentral